UGCGUAGGCGGCCCGGAAAGUUGGGUGUGAAAGCCCUCGGCUCAACCGAGGAAUUGCGCCCAAAAACUACCGGGCUGGAGGGAGAUAGAGGUGGGCGGAGCUUAGGGUGGAGCGGUGAAAUGCGUUGAUAUCCUAAGGAACACCAGGAGCGAAAGCGGCCCACUGGGUCUCUUCUGACGCUGAUGCACGAAAGCUAGGGGAGCGAACGGGAUUAGAUACCCCGGUAGUCCUAGCCGUAAACGAUGAGCACUAGUUUGGAGGGUCCUCCAUAGCCCUCUAGACGUAGCGAAAGUGUUAAGUGCUCCGCCUGGGGAGUAUGGUCGCAAGGCUGAA
This 333-nucleotide ribosomal RNA is filed under the name uncultured bacterium. RNAcentral's name for it is "bacterial SSU rRNA". It matches the Rfam family "Bacterial small subunit ribosomal RNA", at positions 568 to 898 of the family's 1533-position model. The record is from RNAcentral.